UCGGGAAUUUUGGGCAAUGGGCGAAAGCCUGACCCAGCAACGCCGCGUGAGUGAAGAAGGCCUUCGGGUUGUAAAGCUCUUUUGUCAGGGAAGAAACGGUAGUAGCGAAUAACUAUUACUAAUGACGGUACCUGAAGAAUAAGCACCGGCUAACUACGUGCCAGCAGCCGCGGUAAUACGUAGGGUGCAAGCGUUAAUCGGAAUUACUGGGCGUAAAGCGUGCGCAGGCGGUUGUGUAAGUCAGAUGUGAAAUCCCCGGGCUCAACCUGGGAAUUGCAUUUGAGACUGCACGGCUAGAGUGUGUCAGAGGGGGGUAGAAUUCCACGUGUAGCAGUGAAAUGCGUAGAUAUGUGGAGGAAUACCGAUGGCGAAGGCAGCCCCCUGGGAUAACACUGACGCUCACACACGAAAGCUAGGGUAGCGAAGAGGAUUAGAUACCCCCGUAGUCCCUGAGCGGGCUGGCAAGGCGCAU
RNAcentral lists this ribosomal RNA (472 nucleotides) under uncultured bacterium. Its description in RNAcentral is "bacterial SSU rRNA". It matches the Rfam family "Bacterial small subunit ribosomal RNA", at positions 355 to 825 of the family's 1533-position model. The record is from RNAcentral.